This 497-nucleotide ribosomal RNA is filed under the name uncultured bacterium. RNAcentral describes it as "partial 16S ribosomal RNA". It matches the Rfam family "Bacterial small subunit ribosomal RNA", at positions 28 to 507 of the family's 1533-position model. The record is from RNAcentral.
GACGAACGCUGGCGGCGUGCCUAAUACAUGCAAGUUGAGCGCUGAAGGUUGGUACUUGUACCAACUGGAUGAGCAGCGAACGGGUGAGUAACGCGUGGGGAAUCUGCCUUUGAGCGGGGGACAACAUUUGGAAACGAAUGCUAAUACCGCAUAAAAACUUUAAACAAAAGUUUUAAGUUUGAAAGAUGCAAUUGCAUCACUCAAAGAUGAUCCCGCGUUGUAUUAGCUAGUUGGUGAGGUAAAGGCUCACCAAGGCGAUGAUACAUAGCCGACCUGAGAGGGUGAUCGGCCACAUUGGGACUGAGACACGGCCCAAACUCCUACGGGAGGCAGCAGUAGGGAAUCUUCGGCAAUGGACGAAAGUCUGACCGAGCAACGCCGCGUGAGUGAAGAAGGUUUUCGGAUCGUAAAACUCUGUUGGUAGAGAAGAACGUUGGUGAGAGUGGAAAGCUCAUCAAGUGACGGUAACUACCCAGAAAGGGACGGCUAACUACGUG